This 492-nucleotide ribosomal RNA is filed under the name uncultured bacterium. Its description in RNAcentral is "partial 16S ribosomal RNA". It matches the Rfam family "Bacterial small subunit ribosomal RNA", at positions 29 to 507 of the family's 1533-position model. The record is from RNAcentral.
AGUGAACGCUGGCGGUAGGCCUAACACAUGCAAGUCGAACGGCAGCACAGUAAGAGCUUGCUCUUACGGGUGGCGAGUGGCGGACGGGUGAGGAAUACAUCGGAAUCUACUUUUUCGUGGGGGAUAACGUAGGGAAGCUUACGCUAAUACCGCAUACGACCUACGGGUGAAAGCAGGGGAUCUUCGGACCUUGCGCGAUUGAAUGAGCCGAUGUCGGAUUAGCUAGUUGGCGGGGUAAAGGCCCACCAAGGCGACGAUCCGUAGCUGGUCUGAGAGGAUGAUCAGCCACACUGGAACUGAGACACGGUCCAGACUCCUACGGGAGGCAGCAGUGGGGAAUAUUGGACAAUGGGCGCAAGCCUGAUCCAGCCAUACCGCGUGGGUGAAGAAGGCCUUCGGGUUGUAAAGCCCUUUUGUUGGGAAAGAAAAGCAGCAGGUUAAUACCCCGCUGUUCUGACGGUACCCAAAGAAUAAGCAUCGGCUAACUUCGUG